GCUUAAGGGAUCAAACGGAACCAAAAAUAGAGUUUAAAAAGAUUUAAAAUCAAUACCAAAAAUCCAUCGAACCAAUCCAUAAGCUCGUGGUCCACCAUGGACCACUUGGUCCAUAAUAAGCUUGGUGGACCAUGUGAAAAUAACAUGCUGGGGGUUGGAUGCAUGAAAUUUGAAUUCACGCGGCACAGGGAAAUGAUAGGCUUUUGCGUGCGAGAUGCUAGGCUUCAUCUGGUACAUGGAAAAAAAAAUCAAUAAUGUGGAAUGGAUGUCGAUACACAACAGGGAUGCGC
RNAcentral lists this long non-coding RNA (290 nucleotides) under Elaeis guineensis (African oil palm). RNAcentral describes it as "long non-coding RNA (EGUI_LNC064292)". Lineage: Eukaryota; Viridiplantae; Streptophyta; Magnoliopsida; Arecales; Arecaceae. The record is from RNAcentral.